CGGGGUGUGGCGCAGCUUGGUAGCGCAUCUGCUUUGGGAGCAGAGGGUCGCAGGUUCGAAUCCUGUCACCCCGACAA
Molecule: transfer RNA, 77 nt
Filed under: Xylanimonas allomyrinae
Lineage: Bacteria; Bacillati; Actinomycetota; Actinomycetes; Micrococcales; Promicromonosporaceae
Description: tRNA-Pro
Rfam family: tRNA
About the family: Transfer RNA (tRNA) molecules are approximately 80 nucleotides in length. Their secondary structure includes four short double-helical elements and three loops (D, anti-codon, and T loops).
Source: RNAcentral